GUCCCCUUCUCACAAAGUCACGCUUUUGAGCAGGUUCCCUUGGGAGAGCUCCGCGGUACAACUCGGGGAACUGCCUUCCAGACCCUCUCAGCUCCAGUGCGGGAAGGCUUGAAAAACAUCUCUGAAUGCCAGCGAGACAAACAGGAGCCGCCCAAGCCAGGCCUCCUCCUGAGGCAUCGCGGGAGCCCCUCUGCCGCCCUGCCCCGGGCCCCGCUGCUCAGCCACGGCCUCAGAUCCUCCAGCUGGGCCGGCCGGACAAACCCUGAUCUUCACUCCUGAUUAGGAAUUGUGUGUGAGAGAUGUUUUGAGCUGAAAUAAUAUACAAGAGUUUCCCUAGAGAAAAUAUACACGCUUGUUUUUUGGAACCACUUAACUCAACCCUGUACCAAGCAGACGUACAUUUGGGACAACAUGACACAUUUCUUAACCUAGAAGCACGGCUGGCACAAAUUGAUGCCAUCACGAUAGAGAUUAAUGUGCUCGAUUUAUCAGGCCCGCUGGCUGCAGGUGAAUGGUGAGCCAUUGUUAUUCAACUGGUUAAUAUUAUUUUGACAUAAAUCAAGGUAACGCCUAACAACGUCUGAGUCUUUAAAUCAACCCUCCUUUUCCUCUUUGGAACAUAAAAUUGGGCUGUUGCCAAAAGCGCCAGGAAACAGAGGGCUACAAGUGGCAUUUCAAUACGGAACGUACCCAUUCAGGACAGGAUGCUGGGCUCACGGUUCACAGCCCCUUGCCAAUAUUACAAGUCAGCCUGGGGAGAGUUUCGAAUUCACACUGACAGUGACGUGCUGCUGCUGGAGCUGAAGUUUUCUCUUUUUCUGGAUUGACUCUAGGAUCUGGUUCUCUCUACACUGCCCACAUGGACCCCAAAGACAGACAUCGAGGACCGGCUGCCAAGCCCAUGCGGAGCCCUUCUCUCUCCUUCAGGCGAUGGUGCCAGCUCUGGCAAAGCUCAGAGACAAGACUCACUCUGCCAUGAAGCACUUCCAUGAAUUCCACGUCUAAGAGCUUCAGCUGGAAGGAAAUCAGGAAAAGCCGAUCACGUGUGAUCAGAGAGGGUCCCGGGGCAGCCACGUGCCACCAGAAAUAAGAGCACCUCCCACAGAGCUGUGGCCCCACAGGCAGAUGUUUAACAGAAGCCAAACCACAGGUAAAAUGACAGAACCAACUUCUCCCAAAUGAUGUCACACUCCUGGACACUUCUCCAGGAGCGCAGACAAAGUCGACAAAGCAUUCAUCUCAAAGACCACUGGGACUGAGGUGGCCGUCUGGCAGUUUGGGAAUGACUCGCUUUCAACGAAAGCUCAUGGUGUGACUUGGGAUUGCUGCUAACACAAACCCAAGAAGUGCCCCACAUCCAACACAUCAGCUCCCUGACCCACGUCCCUCCGACCCACAGUGGGCCCGUCAUCCAGGAUGUGGUGCUUGUUCGGGCUGUGCUUGCCGUGAAGAUGCUGCUAAUGCAGGCUGCGCUGCGUGGAAGGGUGGCCCUGGUCUGCAAGGGGAGGAGGGGUGAUGCUUGCACCACCUGUCUCUCCCCGGGCACACAGAACAGGGAGGAGAAGAGAGGCUGUGUGUAAGCAAACACCUGGGGAAACUGCAAGCGCUAGCUCCCCGGGCUGACUGUGCUCCCCUCUCGUCUUGUCAAAUGACCAUGGCUGACGGCACGUGAGAAGACAGCUGCCUUCAGACUUUGCGAAGGAGCUUUGCAUCCAG
This 1716-nucleotide long non-coding RNA is filed under the name Equus caballus (horse). RNAcentral's name for it is "lncRNA (ENSECAG00000055453.1)". Lineage: Eukaryota; Metazoa; Chordata; Mammalia; Perissodactyla; Equidae. The record is from RNAcentral.